Long non-coding RNA from Etheostoma spectabile (orangethroat darter), 198 nucleotides. RefSeq lists it as uncharacterized. The record is from RefSeq and is a predicted model, not a curated record. The transcript is spliced from 3 exons. NCBI's taxonomy places the organism in Eukaryota, Metazoa, Chordata, Actinopteri, Perciformes, Percidae.
AUUCUGGGUCAAUCAGACUAAAUCCAGGAAAACAACUGUACCCUCUUAGUUUUUGCUCAAAGUUUAUGCUAACCUUAAUGUCAGUCUUUUCACACUUUUUUCCAAAUCUAGGGCAUGCUGUACAAACUUGUAAUGGUUCAUAUUAACAUGUUUGUCUUCCACCCUACAAAGUUUGGGCUGCCUAUGAAUUUAUGUCCA